GGAGGUAAAAACAAAAGUAUUUGUAAGCAUGAAGUUUUGCUGGUUUGGAGUUCCUUUUCACAAGCCAUGUGUUUUAAUGAUUUUUUUUAUAAAAAAAAUGCUUAGAUUAUACAGUAUAGCUUCCUUGGCAGAUGUGAUAUUGUUUGUUCUGAAGACAUUCAACAACUCGCGAGUUUCAGCAAUGGCCAUAUUGUCUAAAGUAGGUCGUAUGCCACACAUGUGUUACACUUGCUAAAUUAUUUAGUAAAUACAGUGAAUGACUAUCGAAUGUGGACGUUAUUUUAACUUUUCUUCAAAAUAAAAUACAAAGAGGUGAAGAAGGAAGUUUUGUCAAAUUCCAAAUCUUCUAAGUUCACACGUGCAUAUUGAAAACACCAGAGGAGAUGGACCAAGAAUUCCCCUCCAAACAGAACAUGUGAAAAUUUGAAAGCAGGUCAUUUGAUUGGUAAAGCUGGUGCAACGCUACCAGUGUGAUAGGCCUACACCAUACAUGUACACCAUGCUGCUGUGUGACCAAGUGAGGGGCAUCACAAUGAAGGGGAGGAUAUUUAGAUCAUUCAUGGAGCCUUCAACAUUGUAUUAAAACCAAAUUAUAAAGAGAACUCAAGAAGCCAGAGUUUUACAUUUAGUCAUGACCAGUCAUAACAUUCAGCAAAUGAAUGAGUAUCUGAUGAAAAUUAGUGAGAGUUUUCAGAGAAUGGGACAUACCGUCUGGACACCUUCACUAAGCCUGCUAAAUUAUACUACAACAAUAUAAUGACAAACAUUGCUGUUAUUCUCCCAAAGAACAUCAAAGAAAUAGUGAAGUCUUACAGUAUCUGAAGAAAAUCCUAGUCUUGCCUAGUAUUAUACCUGAGGGAAGUUUUGACCACUUAUCCUGAAGUUAUUCAUGCAUAAUAACAUGGGUCCACUAUGCACUACUAUGGAUAUGCUUCAAAUAAUAAAAAAAAAAAAAGAUUUUAAUAAUGUACAUUCUUAAAUAAAAGGUAAAAAGUGUAUAAACAGUAGUCUUAUUGCAUGUAAAAUGAUAAUUCCAUCCUUUGUUACAAUUAUUGAAUUUUUAUAAAAUUGACAAAAAAAUUAAAGAAAUCUAUGUCAAAAGUGUCUAUUAUUAUUAUUUUCAAGGCUUAAGGAUAACGUUUACUUGGAUGACAAAAAUAUUGACUGAUAUAAAAGUGAAAAACCACCUAUUGUACAUCUAUGUAAUUAUUCACUUAAGUAUGUCAUUGCCCUACUAUUCCUGCUAGUGGCUCUUGAGUAUUUCAUAGAAAAUAUAUAAAUUAUUUUUCACAAUAUGACCAACAUUUGCCCCCCUCCCCCAAUAUUUUGCCAAUAUAUAGAAUUCUAUAAAAAACAUAACUACUCUAUGCUUGUGCCCCCUCAGAAAAUACGUCUAAUGAUCUUUUGUCCUUAUUUUGCUUUCUAGAAAUUUUUGGUAGUUUUCACUGAGAAUGUAUG
Long non-coding RNA from Saccostrea cuccullata (small rock oyster), 1458 nucleotides. RefSeq lists it as uncharacterized. The record is from RefSeq and is a predicted model, not a curated record. NCBI's taxonomy places the organism in Eukaryota, Metazoa, Mollusca, Bivalvia, Ostreida, Ostreidae. The transcript has 3 exons.